AUCUCUUGGUUCUGGCAUCGAUGAAGAACGCAGCGAAAUGCGAUAAGUAAUGCGAAUUGCAGAAUUCCGUGAGUCAUCGAAUCUUUGAACGCACAUUGCGCCCUCUGGUACUCCGGGGGGCAUGCCUGUUCGAGCGUCAUU
This 141-nucleotide ribosomal RNA is filed under the name Dermatocarpon miniatum. RNAcentral's name for it is "5.8S ribosomal RNA". It matches the Rfam family "5.8S ribosomal RNA". From Rfam's summary of the family: 5.8S ribosomal RNA (5.8S rRNA) is a component of the large subunit of the eukaryotic ribosome. It is transcribed by RNA polymerase I as part of the 45S precursor that also contains 18S and 28S rRNA. The record is from RNAcentral. Lineage: Eukaryota; Fungi; Ascomycota; Eurotiomycetes; Verrucariales; Verrucariaceae.